UGGCACUAAUCCUAGGCACAAUUUACCCCAAUUCGCUUUUAAAAUAACACACAUCUUUUAUCGGAAGCCCGAAUGACGUCCCUCAUGUUCAAAUUUGAUCUAAUACACCUGAAACAAGUCCUUCAAACGAAAUUUAUACACUAGUUAACAAUCAAUUUCGAGAUUCUUCAAGAUUAAUCAAGAUUAUUGAAAAUUUUGUCAAAAGUUGUGAAAGAUUGACUAAUUUAUUUGAAAGGUUAAUAUCAGAUAGAAAUUCCACAAAAUUGAGGUCUAAACUUUAGAACAAGAUGUACUUACCGGACUUGAUGGUAUUACAAAGGCUAUCAACAAUGAAUUCAACUAUCGGUAGAGAGUCAAUUUAUCGGGAAUUGAUUUGAUAUGGAAAACAAAAAUAAUUCCAGCAAUGGAGAGAAAAUAUUUUGCAAAGAAGAGAAUGAAAAAGAAAAGGGGGAAAAUAUGAGAAAAAGACCAAUUCUAAUAGGAUUUGAAAAAGUAGUAAUUGAAAACCAAUUAGGAGAUAA
Molecule: long non-coding RNA, 521 nt
Filed under: Gossypium barbadense (sea-island cotton)
Lineage: Eukaryota; Viridiplantae; Streptophyta; Magnoliopsida; Malvales; Malvaceae
Description: long non-coding RNA (GBAR_LNC009971)
Source: RNAcentral